Suricata suricatta (meerkat) is the source of this 263-nucleotide long non-coding RNA. RefSeq lists it as uncharacterized. Lineage: Eukaryota; Metazoa; Chordata; Mammalia; Carnivora; Herpestidae. The record is from RefSeq and is a predicted model, not a curated record. The transcript is spliced from 2 exons.
AACGGUUGGAUGCUAACUGACUGAGCCACCAAGCUACCCCAGCAUGUGAUAUAGUUUUAUUCUUCUAUCCCAAAUAAAAUUUAGUAAAAAGAGAGGGUAUGUUUCCAGAUUUUGACCAAGCAUUUGGAACAUAUGGAUAUGGCAAACCAUAUCUGACAAACGGAGUAACAGCUACUGUGUGAAGAAAAGGCCUGGCUUAAUCCCUCCUUACCAGAAGAGUGAACCAAAAGCAACAUUGUGAAUUAGAGUUUCAUGCCCCUUGG